Molecule: long non-coding RNA, 590 nt
Organism: Marmota flaviventris (yellow-bellied marmot)
Lineage: Eukaryota; Metazoa; Chordata; Mammalia; Rodentia; Sciuridae
Source: RefSeq, a predicted model, not a curated record
GGUGGCAGAGACAAGCAUGCCAUGGCUUCAGAUAUAACAUUCUAAGAAGAGGGUUGUCCUAGAGAGCUGACCCCUGAGGCAUGCCACGCCCAGGGCUGGCUCUGAUGGAGGUGCCUGGAACUGUGGGACUGCAUGGAAGUUGGCCCUUAAGACAUGGAUCUCACUCACAGCAUUAGGGGCAUGUCCUGAACAUCUAUAAAUGUCCUCAGGAGCUCAUCCUCAUCCUUGAUCUGGGAGAACAAUGGAUGGUUAAGAGGACAUCCAAGAGAAUUAGUUCUGUCACCAUGAAGAAACUCAACCAUCUCCUAUAAAUGUAUGUGACACACACACUGGAGAGCGUGGAGGCCAUUCUGCUGAGGAAUUGGAGAACUUACCCACACCCUAUCUGCACCCUUGUGAUGUCAAUCAAAACUGCAACAUGUAACUUGCAUUAAUUUUAAAAAACCAUACUGCUUAUCUGAGAAUUCUGGAUUGAACUUCAAUUUUGUGAAUUCCUUAAGGCUUAGUUGGUUUAUAAAGCAUAAUUUUUAAUACUGAUAAAAUGAUCUGGCCAACUAAGCACCAAGAAUAUCAAUAAAUAUCAAUAGUUA